Molecule: ribosomal RNA, 484 nt
Filed under: uncultured bacterium
Lineage: Bacteria
Description: partial 16S ribosomal RNA
Rfam family: Bacterial small subunit ribosomal RNA
Source: RNAcentral
AUUGAACGCUGGCGGAAUGCUUUACACAUGCAAGUCGAACGGCAGCACGGGGGCAACCCUGGUGGCGAGUGGCGAACGGGUGAGUAAUACAUCGGAACGUGCCCGGUCGUGGGGGAUAACGUAGCGAAAGUUACGCUAAUACCGCAUACGAUCUGAGGAUGAAAGCGGGGGACCUUCGGGCCUCGCGCGAUCGGAGCGGCCGAUGUCAGAUUAGGUAGUUGGUGGGGUAAAGGCCUACCAAGCCGACGAUCUGUAGCUGGUCUGAGAGGACGACCAGCCACACUAGGACUGAGACACGGCCCAGACUCCUACGGGAGGCAGCAGUGGGGAAUUUUGGACAAUGGGCGCAAGCCUGAUCCAGCCAUUCCGCGUGCAGGACGAAGGCCUUCGGGUUGUAAACUGCUUUUGUAUGGAACGAAAAGGCUCUGGCUAAUACCUGGGGCUCAUGACGGUACCGUAAGAAUAAGCACCGGCUAACUACGUG